AAUAGAUACCCUGGUAGUCCACGCCCUAAACGAUGACGACUAGAUGUCGGAGGGGUCUGCCUUUCGGUGUCGUAGCUAACGCGUUAAGUCGUCCGCCUGGGGAGUACGGCCGCAAGGUUGAAACUCAAAGGAAUUGACGGGGGACCCGCACAAGCGGUGGAGCAUGUGGUUCAAUUCGAUGCAACGCGAAGAACCUUACCUGGCCUUGACAUCCGCGGAACUCGGCAGAAAUGCCUUGGUGCCUUCGGGAAUCGCGAGACAGGUGCUGCGUGGCUGUCGUCAGCUCGUGUCGUGAGAUGUUGGGUUAAGUCCCGCAACGAGCGCAACCCUUGUCCUUAGUUGCCAUCAUUAAGUUGGGAACUCUAAGGAGACCGCCGGUGACAAACCGGAGGAAGGUGGGGAUGACGUCAAGUCAUCACGGCCCUUAUGGCCAGGGCUACACACGUGCUACAAUGGGCGGUACAGAGGGUUGCCAACCCGGCGAGGGGGAGCCAAUCCCAGAAAGCCGUUCGUAGUCCGGAUCGGAGUCUGCAACUCGACUCCGUG
This 546-nucleotide ribosomal RNA is filed under the name uncultured bacterium. RNAcentral describes it as "bacterial SSU rRNA". It matches the Rfam family "Bacterial small subunit ribosomal RNA", at positions 777 to 1322 of the family's 1533-position model. The record is from RNAcentral.